RNAcentral lists this ribosomal RNA (384 nucleotides) under Gyrodinium sp. RNAcentral's name for it is "SSU rRNA". It matches the Rfam family "Eukaryotic small subunit ribosomal RNA", at positions 587 to 975 of the family's 1831-position model. Lineage: Eukaryota; Dinophyceae; Gymnodiniales; Gymnodiniaceae. The record is from RNAcentral.
AGCUCCAAUAGCGUAUAUUAAAGUUGUUGCGGUUAAAAAGCUCGUAGUUGGAUUUCUGCUGAGGACGACCGGUCCGCCCUCUGGGUGAGUAUCUGGCUUGGCCUUGGCAUCUUCUUGGAGAACGUAGCUGCACUUGACUGUGUGGUGCGGUAUCCACGACUUUUACUUUGAGGAAAUUAGAGUGUUUCAAGCAGGCAUACGCCUUGAAUACAUUAGCAUGGAAUAAUAAGAUAGGACCUUGGUUCUAUUUUGUUGGUUUCUAAAGCUGAGGUAAUGAUUAAUAGGGAUAAUUGGGGGCAUUCGUAUUUAACUGUCAGAGGUGAAAUUCUUGGAUUUGUUAAAGACGGACUACCGCGAAAGCAUUUGCCAAGGAUGUUUUCAUUG